UAGGAUGAGACUAUAUUGUAUCAGCUAGUUGGUAAGGUAAUGGCUUACCAAGGCUAUGACGCAUAACUGGUCUGAGAGGAUGAUCAGUCACACUGGAACUGAGACACGGUCCAGACUCCUACGGGAGGCAGCAGUAGGGAAUAUUGCUCAAUGGGGGAAACCCUGAAGCAGCAACGCCGCGUGGAGGAUGACACUUUUCGGAGCGUAAACUCCUUUUCUUAGGGAAGAACAAUGACGGUACCUAAGGAAUAAGCACCGGCUAACUCCGUGCCAGCAGCCGCGGUAAUACGGAGGGUGCAAGCGUUACUCGGAAUCACUGGGCGUAAAGGACGCGUAGGCGGAUUAUCAAGUCUUUUGUGAAAUCUAAUGGCUUAACCAUUAAACUGCUUGAGAAACUGAUAAUCUAGAGUGAGGGAGAGGCAGAUGGAACUGGUGGUGUAGGGGUAAAAUCCGUAGAGAUCACCAAGAAUACCCAUUGCGAAGGCGAUCUGCUAGAACUCAACUGACGCUAAUGCGUGAAAGCGUGGGGAGCAAACAGGAUUAGAUACCCUGGUAGUCCACGCCCUAAACGAUGCAUACUAGUUGUUGCUCUGCUAGUCAGGGCAGUAAUUCAGCUAACGCAUUAAGUAUGCCGCCUGGGGAGUACGGUCGCAAGAUUAAAACUCAAAGGAAUAGACGGGGACCCGCACAAGCGGUGGAGCAUGUGGUUUAAUUCGAAGAUACGCGAAGAACCUUACCUGGGCUUGAUAUCCUAAGAACCUCUUAGAGAUAAGGGGGUGCUAGCUUGCUAGAACUUAGAGACAGGUGCUGCACGGCUGUCGUCAGCUCGUGUCGUGAGAUGUUCGGUUAAGUCCGGCAACGAGCGCAACCCACGUAUUUAGUUGCUAACAGUUUGGCUGAGCACUCUAAAUAUACUGCCUUCGUAAGGAGGAGGAAGGUGUGGACGACGUCAAGUCAUCAUGGCCCUUAUGCCCAGGGCGACACACGUGCUACAAUGGCAUAUACAAUGAGACGCAAUAUCGCGAGAUGGAGCAAAUCUAUAAAAUAUGUCCCAGUUCGGAUUGUUCUCUGCAACUCGAGAGCAUGAAGCCGGAAUCGCUAGUAAUCGUAGAUCAGCCAUGCUACGGUGAAUACGUUCCCGGGUCUUGUACUCACCGCCCGUCACACCAUGGGAGUUGAUUUCACUCGAAGCCCAAAUACCAAACUGGUUAUGGUCCACAGUGGAAUCAGCGACUGGGGUGAAGUCGUAACAAGGUAACCGUAGGAGAACCUGCGGUUGGAUCACCUCCUUUCUA
Molecule: ribosomal RNA, 1295 nt
Filed under: Campylobacter hyointestinalis subsp. lawsonii
Lineage: Bacteria; Pseudomonadati; Campylobacterota; Epsilonproteobacteria; Campylobacterales; Campylobacteraceae
Description: bacterial SSU rRNA
Rfam family: Bacterial small subunit ribosomal RNA
Source: RNAcentral